CUAACCCUAACCCUAACCCUAACCCUAGCCCUAACCCUCACCCUCCCCUCCCUCUCCAGCAUCCAGAGCUGCUAGCGUUGCAGCCGCGCUUUGGUUUCUUUCUACACGUUCUGCAGCCGUCCUGUGUACACUCUCCUGUUAGGCCAGUCACGGGGAGCGGACUUGAAAUGCAGCCUGGACACAUCCUAGCUCUGUAAUCCUGGGCAAGUCGCCUAAUCUAUAAGGAAACUGAGGUAGACAGUGGUUAAAUGUCUUUCCCGGGAUUACACAGCUGCUGAAGCAGCACAGAGUGCCUGGCUGGAGUCAAGAAGACCUGAGUUCAAAUCUGUCUGAGAGUCGUGGUGAAGAUGCAGAGUGUUUGGCAUACAGCAGGAGCUUACUAAAUGCAAUUGGGGUUAAGUGACUUGCCCAGG
Molecule: long non-coding RNA, 413 nt
Organism: Vombatus ursinus (common wombat)
Lineage: Eukaryota; Metazoa; Chordata; Mammalia; Diprotodontia; Vombatidae
Exons: 5
Source: RefSeq, a predicted model, not a curated record